GAAAAAUGGAAAUAUCUUCUUUCUUCUCUGUUCUUCCGUAAAAUAAAGAAAACGAAAUCGAAAUCGAAAUCGAUGAUGAAUGGGUAAGAUGGUCAGGAACGGAAGACAUUCUGCUGAUUUCAGUUUGAAAGGGUUAGGAAUUGGGUUCCGACUUUCGAUUUCUAAAGCAAGUUGGGAAAAGAUUUGGAAACAGCUGAUGAAGUGCUGCGAAUUUGAUUUAGCUUGGAUUUCUUAUUUUAGCUUGGUUUCUCUUUAUAAAGUACUUGUCAUCCAAGCAUGUGCACCGUCAUAGAGAACUAUAAAUACAAGCAUUCAUGAGGAAACCAAGCACAAUCAAAUUUGUCACAUCUUCUUAAUUCUUUAGACGGCUUAAGGUGAUACUGAAUUCAAGUAUUUCAAGGAAGAAAAAAGGUAGAAUUUUAAUUGGCUGAAGAAGAGGGGAUAGAGACGAGGAAGUGUUGCAAAGAAAGUUUACGGCUAACGAUAAUAAAUUCAAUUCGUGCCGGCCGAGACUACUACUGGAAUUGAGGCAAGUUGACUACUAGUUGAAUUGAGG
Papaver somniferum (opium poppy) is the source of this 556-nucleotide long non-coding RNA. RefSeq lists it as uncharacterized. Lineage: Eukaryota; Viridiplantae; Streptophyta; Magnoliopsida; Ranunculales; Papaveraceae. The record is from RefSeq and is a predicted model, not a curated record. The transcript is spliced from 4 exons.